RNAcentral lists this ribosomal RNA (246 nucleotides) under Triticum aestivum (bread wheat). RNAcentral's name for it is "partial small subunit ribosomal RNA". The record is from RNAcentral. Lineage: Eukaryota; Viridiplantae; Streptophyta; Magnoliopsida; Poales; Poaceae.
AUGAAUCCACUAAUUGCUGUUGCUUCUGUUAUUGCUGCUGGAUUGGCCGUAGGGCUUGCUUCUAUUGGACCUGGAGUUGGUCAAGGUACUGCUGCAGGACAAGCUGUAGAAGGUAUUGCGAGAGAGCCAGAAGCAGAAGGUAAAAUACGAAGUACUUUAUUGCUUAGUCUAGCUUUUAUGGAAGCUUUAAUAAUUUAUGGACUAGUUGUGGCACUAGCGCUUUUAUUUGCGAACCGUUUUGUUUAA